UACGGGGGGGGCAAGCGUUGUUCGGAAUUACUGGGCGUAAAGGGCUCGUAGGCGGCCAACUAAGUCAUACGUGAAAUCCCUCGGCUUAACCGGGGAACUGCGUCUGAUACUGGAUGGCUUGAGUUCGGGAGAGGGAUGCGGAAUUCCAGGUGUAGCGGUGAAAUGCGUAGAUAUCUGGAGGAACACCGGUGGCGAAGGCGGCAUCCUGGACCGGCAUUGACGCUGAACAGCGAAAGCCAGGGGAGCAAACAGGG
Molecule: ribosomal RNA, 254 nt
Filed under: uncultured bacterium
Lineage: Bacteria
Description: partial 16S ribosomal RNA
Rfam family: Bacterial small subunit ribosomal RNA
Source: RNAcentral